Molecule: ribosomal RNA, 230 nt
Filed under: Euryopa laurae
Lineage: Eukaryota; Metazoa; Arthropoda; Insecta; Coleoptera; Phengodidae
Description: partial 28S ribosomal RNA
Source: RNAcentral
GAGGGCCGUACUCGUCCGUCGCAUACGACCGCCGUCCCGGUUGCGAGCGCGUGCACGUCUCCACGAGCAGGACGUCGCGACCAGUCGGGAGCCAGCCUGAGGAUGGUGCGGCCAGGCCGCACGGACGGCACCCGAGACGUGACGAGCGGACCGCGCGGAGUCCCGACCGGCACACUCGACGGCAUAUAGCGAGCAGAACGAUUAGGGCCGCCACAAUGACGUGCGCGGUC